GCACCGGCUAACUCCGUGCCAGCAGCCGCGGUAAUACGGAGGGUGCGAGCGUUAAUCGGAAUUACUGGGCGUAAAGCGCAUGCAGGCGGCCUGUUAAGUCAGAUGUGAAAGCCCGGGGCUUAACCUCGGAAUUGCAUUUGAAACUGGCAGGCUAGAGUCUUGUAGAGGGGGGUAGGAAGUUUCAGGUGUAGCGGUGAAAUGCGUAGAGAUCUGAAGGAAUACCAGUGGCGAAGGCGGCCCCCCUGGACAAAGACUGACGCUCAGAUGCGAAAGCGUGGGGAGCAAACAGGAUUAGAUACCCUGGUAG
RNAcentral lists this ribosomal RNA (307 nucleotides) under uncultured bacterium. RNAcentral describes it as "bacterial SSU rRNA". It matches the Rfam family "Bacterial small subunit ribosomal RNA", at positions 490 to 793 of the family's 1533-position model. The record is from RNAcentral.